CGGGGAAUAUUGCGCAAUGGGGGCAACCCUGACGCAGCCAUGCCGCGUGAAUGAAGAAGGCCUUAGGGUUGUAAAGUUCUUUCGGUAUUGAGGAAGGUUGAUGUGUUAAUAGCACAUCAAAUUGACGUUAAAUACAGAAGAAGCACCGGCUAACUCCGUGCCAGCAGCCGCGGUAAUACGGAGGGUGCGAGCGUUAAUCGGAAUAACUGGGCGUAAAGGGCACGCAGGCGGUUAUUUAAGUGAGGUGUGAAAGCCCUGGGCUUAACCUAGGAAUUGCAUUUCAGACUGGGUAACUAGAGUACUUUAGGGAGGGGUAGAAUUCCACGUGUAGCGGUGAAAUGCGUAGAGAUGUGGAGGAAUACCGAAGGCGAAGGCAGCCCCUUGGGAAUGUACUGACGCUCAUGUGCGAAAGCGUGGGGAGCAAACAGGAUUAGAUACCCUGGUAGUCCACGCUGUAAACGCUGUCGAUUUGGGGGUUGGGGUUUAACUCUGGCGCCCGUAGCUAACGUGAUAAAUCGACCGCCUGGGGAGUACGGCCGCAAGGUUA
Molecule: ribosomal RNA, 547 nt
Filed under: uncultured bacterium
Lineage: Bacteria
Description: bacterial SSU rRNA
Rfam family: Bacterial small subunit ribosomal RNA
Source: RNAcentral